Molecule: ribosomal RNA, 844 nt
Filed under: Proteus mirabilis
Lineage: Bacteria; Pseudomonadati; Pseudomonadota; Gammaproteobacteria; Enterobacterales; Morganellaceae
Description: partial 23S ribosomal RNA
Rfam family: Bacterial large subunit ribosomal RNA
Source: RNAcentral
GGUUAAGCGAAUAAGCGUACACGGUGGAUGCCUAGGCAAUCAGAGGCGAUGAAGGACGUGCUAAUCUGCGAAAAGCGUCGGUAAGGUGAUAUGAACCGUUAUACCCGACGAUAUCCGAAUGGGGAAACCCAGUAUCCAAUGGAUACUAUCAUUAACUGAAUCCAUAGGUUAAUGAGGCGAACCGGGAGAACUGAAACAUCUCAGUACCCCGAGGAAAAGAAAUCAACCGAGAUUCCCCUAGUAGCGGCGAGCGAACGGGGAGCAGCCCAGAGUCUUAAUCAAUAGCAGUGUCAGGAGAACGGUCUGGAAAGUCCGGCAGUAAAGGGUGAUAGCCCCGUAUCUGAAGAUGCUGUUAUUGUGAACUCGAUGAGUAGGGCGGGACACGUGUUAUCCUGUCUGAAUAUGGGGGGACCAUCCUCCAAGGCUAAAUACUCCUGAUUGACCGAUAGUGAACCAGUACCGUGAGGGAAAGGCGAAAAGAACCCCGGCGAGGGGAGUGAAAAAGAACCUGAAACCGUGUACGUACAAGCAGUAGGAGCCUCUUUAUGGGGUGACUGCGUACCUUUUGUAUAAUGGGUCAGCGACUUAUAUUCUGUAGCAAGGUUAACCGUAUAGGGGAGCCGUAGGGAAACCGAGUCUUAACUGGGCGAAUGAGUUGCAGGGUAUAGACCCGAAACCCGGUGAUCUAUCCAUGGGCAGGUUGAAGGUUGGGUAACACUAACUGGAGGACCGAACCGACUAAUGUUGAAAAAUUAGCGGAUGACUUGUGGAUGGGGGUGAAAGGCCAAUCAAACCGGGAGAUAGCUGGUUCUCCCCGAAAGCUAUUUAGGUAGCGCCUCGUGAA